UUCCCAACCCAGGGAUUGAACCUGCAUCUCCUGCUUGGCAGGUGGAUUCUUCACCACUGAGCCGCCUGGGA
This 71-nucleotide transfer RNA is filed under the name Haemonchus contortus (barber pole worm). RNAcentral describes it as "tRNA, Pseudo". Lineage: Eukaryota; Metazoa; Nematoda; Chromadorea; Rhabditida; Trichostrongylidae. The record is from RNAcentral.